GCCCGAGUGGCUUAAUUGGUUAAGCAUCCGACUUCGGCUCAGGUCACGAUCUCACGGUCCGUGAGUUCAAGCCCCACGUCAGGCU
Molecule: transfer RNA, 85 nt
Filed under: Felis catus (domestic cat)
Lineage: Eukaryota; Metazoa; Chordata; Mammalia; Carnivora; Felidae
Rfam family: tRNA
About the family: Transfer RNA (tRNA) molecules are approximately 80 nucleotides in length. Their secondary structure includes four short double-helical elements and three loops (D, anti-codon, and T loops).
Source: Rfam by way of RNAcentral